RNAcentral lists this long non-coding RNA (5158 nucleotides) under Capsicum annuum. Its description in RNAcentral is "long non-coding RNA (CANN_LNC004546)". The record is from RNAcentral. Lineage: Eukaryota; Viridiplantae; Streptophyta; Magnoliopsida; Solanales; Solanaceae.
UCCGAAUUUCAAAUUAUAUGACAAGUAAUCGGACCACACAAAAAUUUCAAAUAUGCCAAGCAACAUCAUAAUCCAGUUCACUCAAGGAACGCACAACAACAACCACAAUAUAAUUUGGUCCACUCAUGAAACCAUUAUAAACAUCAAUAAUAACAAUAAUUAUAUUCUUGGUCCACUUAAAAAACUGUCACACUAAUACAUACCUUGUACAUACAUGCUAAGGAUCUUACGAUUGUUCAUUAGUCAUGACCUGCAUGGGAUAAACUCUUAUCCAUGUACUAUACCACUGUAGUAUCUGGGCCAACCAACGAAACAUAUCAAGCAAUUUCAUGAAAGUGUCCAUAUAUCGGUAUAUCCCACAAUAAUAAUCGAUAUCAUAAUAAUCACAAUUACAAUGAGAACAAAUAAGCAUACUUGAACAGUCAACAAACGCUUAAUAUAACCUCAUUUUAUGUGGUUAAUAUUUAGGAUAUUAUUUAACAAUUAUAUUUUUUAAGUAAUUAUUGCAACAAUAGACAACCACCUAAAUAUAUAUUUGGUCAACUCGAGUUAAUUAAUUCAUGUAAAUAACGAUCAUACUUUGACACACUAAAUCACAAGUAGAUAUAAAUCAUUGGUUUCAUCAAUUAUAUCAUGUUUGAAGAUCAAUUUUCGACUUAUUCUAGUAAGCAUUUUUAAGUCAUAUUCAUUAAAAUCAAGUAGUCAUUCCAGGAGUGCACAUUCAACCCAAGGGAGUCUAAACUCUAGCCCAACAUUCAUAAAUUCAUUCAUUGAUCCAAUCCUCCUCAUCUAUAUCAAGACUCGAGAUUCCACUAUUAUCUAGCAACCCUCGCUUUCAAGUCAUUACUAGAUUCAAGAUCUAAUCCAUUAGUCAAUCAUUCAACUCUAUUCAACUUAUGAUCUAGUUUUAGUUAAACACCUUUGUACCUUUUACUUUCUAAACUUUGGUUUAACUCUACUUUAAGCUUUUAAAUCAUGUCACUGCCUUUUCCUACCAUAGUAGUUCUAGCAAGAUUAUCCUAUAUUUAAUAUAUAUAAAAAUAAGUUUAUUCUUUUUAGGAUAAUUAGGCUAAAUCACUAGAUUAUAGGCUAACACGAUCUCAUUAUCAUCUAUAAUCACAUAAGUCACAUUACAAUCCAUCAUGAAGUCAUACAAACACACAACACCCAUCAAGAAUUCAUACACAAGAUAACAAUAUAUAAUUAAGUCUUCAUUACAUUAAUUUCAUGUUUUAUCCACCAAAACUCCAUGCCCUCAUGCUUAAUCAUGAUUUCUCCCAUCAAAUUUAUAUUAUGGAUAUGAUUACUAACCACAAUCUACUACUCAUAAACUAUGACCUACCUGGGCCUCAAAUUGCUGCAACAAUUAAGCGAUGCCAUGGAUGAUCUUUUGUCUUCUUCACCUUUUGAAGUCUAAAUCAUGUAAUAAUAAAAAUUACAAGAGUAAUUAAUAAACUAUUCUUUAAACAAAUAUCUUGAGAAUUUAAACCCACUAAUUCUACCCUCAUUACGAUCUACAAUAUUAUUCAAGGGUCAAUUAGUCAUCAAAAUAGUUCCUUCAAGCUCAACUCAACUCCAUGAUGAAGUUUUUAGACAAAAGGUUCUACCUUUAUUAAAUUCAAGGUCUUCAACUAUCAAUUUUCUUAUUUUAGAAUCACUAAUUCAUGCUAGAGAUUGUUAAUUAACAAUUUAGAAGUGAUUCUACGUGAUAUUAACUCAAUCCAUAGAUUUUUUUUCAAAAUAUCAUGAACUUAUGGUUUAAAUUCCUAAGAACUUCACCAUUAAAGGUUGUUUUAAUUAUUCUAGGAUGCUAAAGGAUUGAAAGUAAAGAAGAUGUGGAAGAAACUUACCUCAACGAAGAAUUUUCACUCAUACUAAGAGAAAAUCACACGUCUAGGACUUAGGAUGAAAUUUUGGAAUUUGGGGGUUGAAACCUAUCAAAAUGGGCUAUAAACUAUUAUACAUAUCUUUAUAGUGACCUGACCUGCUAUAGCGAUGUUUCUAUAGAGACUUGGUCUGCAACAACGCCCUCAGCUUUUUAGUAUGGACAAUCUUCAGUAGAACGAUCAUAAUUUACUCAGAACGCGAUUUAACGAAUAGUUAGUUUUUAGAAAAAUAUUGACCCCUAACUCCUUCUAUUCUAGGAGAAAUGCUCAUUUGAAGUUGACCCUAGUUUAAAUUUAGCCCAAAACUCAAUCAAUAAGGAUACUUUUAACUUAACUUUGUGGUAGGAGUGUUAUAUGACCUUAGUAUAUAUCAAAUGCCACCCCAAACUAAAGAAUUAAUCCUAGCACAUAUGACGAAUAAGAUUCUUAUGCCUUUGCCGCAAAUAUAUUCAGUUUGGAGUCUUUGGACAUAAAAUUUGGAGUUUUUAUAUUUUUAUCAUAAACAUGAAAAUACCAUAAGUUGCGAAAAUUAUUACAUUUCUCCAAUUCUUAUAUAUUGUUAUUAAAUGAGCAAAUUAUAAUUCAUAAAUAAGAUAUUGCAAUAUCCUAAGACACUGCAUUGAUAAUUGCAUAUCUCCAUGUUUCUUUUACGAAUAAAUAUUUACUAUUACAAACUUUCAAGUACACAUAAUUUUAUAAAGAUUUAUUAGUUAGCUAACUCUAGUUAUUCUUUAACAAGAUCUUUUACAUAGUAUAAUUUUUUCAUGUAGAGCAUAAGUCUUUUUUGUAAAAUUUAAAAUAAUUGGAAAGGUUUGUUUUUACAAAUUAUAAAUGGUUUAAAAAAAAACUUGAAAUUAUAAUUUGAAAUUCCACAUUAAUUUUUUUUAAAAAAUUUAAGAUUUCAUCGCAUGAUCUCAAAUCUUAUACCCAAACACUGAAAUCUCAUGUCCAAACAUAUACAAAAUUAAUAUCCAGUUUCCUGAAAAGGAAUUAUGAUCAAAGAUAUGAUCAACAGUCCGCAACGUAAUAAUAAUCGUAGUGACUCUUUCUGAUUUUUUUAAAAAAUUGUUUGUUAGUUUAGUUUUCGAGUCGCCACCUAACUUUUAAGGAAAAAUUAGGAAAAUCAUUUUCGUAACAUGAAAACUCUAUUUUUAAUUAGCGAAAAUCGGUGAGAUUCUAAGUAAAGGUUUUGAUUACUCGAGAGGAAGGAAUUAGGCACCCCUCAGAACCUAUCCGAAGAUAGUCCUUAAACUUAGUUUCAGAAAACAUUUGAAAAAUAUUUGUUUUGUUAUUUGCUAAAAUAGUAACAAGAAAAAAUUUAUUGCUAUAUUUUAUUUUUUAUUUUUUGAAAAGGAGACUUAGGGUACAGAAAAUGUAAUGCCACCAUAUACAAGGAAAUAAUAUAGUUAUUGUAAGAUAUAUGCAUAAAUAUUUAAAAAUAUGAGAAAAAGUACCUUUUUUAUAAUAAUAUAAAGUAUAAAAUCUGAUGAUUUUACGAGAAAACAUGCUUAAUAUGUAUGAAGUUAAUACAUGAACAAAAUUAAUUAUAAAGUAAGAAAGUAUUUUUUUAAUGUAUGAAAGAAUUUAUUCAAAAUAGAUUUAAAUACAGGAAUAUUUAGAAAUACGUAAAAAAAAAUUGUGAGAAUCCAUUUGAUUUAUGAAAUUCCAAUAGACUAAACGAAGUCGGAAAUAAGAUGUGAUAGUAAAGUGCAUUAUAUAAUAGCGUUGAAAUAACUUGUAAAUGAUGUAAUAGUAUGGAAAACAAUAAUAAUAAUAAUAAAAUGUGCCUUGUAUACGGCAAAGUGAGAGUAAAUAUAUACGUUGCAUUUUAGAAACUUUUAGAAUCUGAAAAGUUAAAAAAACUUUGAAAUAAAGUUAGAUAUGAAACAAAUACUUGAACUACGUCGAGUCAAUAAAAAAUUUGCAAUUUGAUAAGAACGUUAUUUACAAAACUAAUGCUUGACUAAUUAAGAUCAUUUGUGACUUAUUUGAAAAACUCUAAUCAAGGCGCUAAAUAUCGUGAAUUAAUAUUUUUGAAAAUGAAGACAAUUGCUGGCCGUUUUGAUCAAUUUUGAAACUGUGCUUUUCGUUUGCGCUUGUACUUAAAACCAAAAUUUUACCUAUUUUACUCUAAAGGAUUUAUUUGUGUAUAUAGAGUAAUUGAUUCAAUAAUAUGGUGCUACUACACUUACAAACGUCGGAUUGGUGAAAGAUUGGCCGAUUAACAAAAUAAAAGCUAAUCAGUCAAACAACUCAAGUCCACGUAUUUACACGCUAUAUAUUCAUGAAACAAAUUUCAGACCCAAGAUAAAUUCACCAAAACAACAGAACUAGUCUAGCCGUAACGGCAAUCCAAAGCGAGCAACAACGAAUUAAAUACUCUAUCAACCGAACGAGAUAAAAGAUGAAUGAAGAAAUUGAAGGGGCAAGUUUGCACCUUCUUUGGUGUAGCGAAACUAGGGCUCCGGUGUCAAGGAAUGCUCUGGCGACUACAAACCCGCUCCGAAACUUCGAAAUUGGACAGAAAUUGGAAAGGAAAAUAGGAAAUUUUGAAAACCUUUUUUUCCUUUUCAACUCGUUUUGUUUUGGUUCUUCACCUCUGUCCCCCUAAUCUCCGAUGUUCAACCCCCGUCCUCAAAGGGGUGAGAAUCCGGCAAUUUAUAGCCAAAUUUGGACUCCAAAGUCCGAAUUUGAGACAACGAAUAAGUAAAAACGAGGGAAAAACAGAGAAUUUGAAUUUUUGAAUUCAAAUUUCUAAAGCAAAUCUAUUGAUUUCAAACUUUUUCAGGGUACUUGUGGCGGACUUGACGUCAAUGACGAGUUGUUACAUCGUUUUAGGGCCUAAUUUUCUUGAGUUCAGCGGGUUUCACGGAAAAGAUGGGGCGGUCCGCGUGGAGGCGCAGCUAUGUCUGCAUAUGGCUGCCAUUUUUGUCGAUGAAGAAGGGAAAAGAGAAGAGAGAAAGUCUUCGUAAUGUUGUUUUUUGAGAGAGAGAGAAACAGGUCAGUGUAUGGGAAAGGAAAAUGCGUGUAUUGGGAGCGUGAAAAGCCGUAUAAAGGGCUGAUUAUUUAACUAUAAUUUGGACUGUCCGAUCGUUUGAUCGGACGGUUCAGAUUUAAUAAAAGAAUAAAAGAAUAUAAUAAAUUAUAUGCAUAAAUAUAAAAAUAAGUAAAUAAUUAGAAACUUUGAGACUUAUCGGACUAGAAAUAAUUUAACGGAUUAGAUCAAAUUGUGUGGAAUGGCAAAGCGGAUAUGGAAAUUGUUCUAGAUUUCG